UUCUUAAAAACAAGAAAGAAGGUUUUUGCCUUCAAGGAGGCACCUCCCAACAGAGCCAAAAUGGGAAUGUUUGCAUUUGGUACCAUCCAUCAAUGCUGCGAUGCUGUGGGAGAGGCUCCUCCAGCUCCUCUCAUCGCAGUGGACAGAAGGAGCUGUCAGGGAGCCGCGUGUGGCUACUGUGCCGAGCAGGGCGAGAGCCAUGCUGGCAGAGAUCCCUUCCACAGAGGGGAUUUCUGCACUGACAAUUUUUGGCUCCUUUAGGUUACUUUGGAGCUGUGCAGAAUAUGUAAUGUUCUGCUGAGGGGCUGACAGGCAACUUAAAUACAGAUUGCAAAGAUAGAUCAUCCCCCAGCAUCACUUUGUUUUCUGAUGCUCUAAAAUCUUUUUACUUGACCCUGCAAGCUACUAUAAAGUCAGAAGAGCUCUCUAUAUUUGCUUCCCGGAUGCCUUUUUCUCCUCUGCUUACAACUAUAAAAGCAGCUUUUCAUGCUCCAAAUCAGAGAUAAAUUGAAAUUGCUGCUGAAGAAAUAAAACACAAGGCUAAUCAAAUUGUAGCACAGGAAGCAGCCUUCAGCCAGUGCAUUUUCUGAGAGCUAUUUUUAGAAUAUAUUUUUAUUUUGUCACUCCAUAUGGGAAGUCAAACCCAUAUGGUUUGGGAGAAUAGAAGGUUGUGCUUUUAUAGAGAUCUCACAAACCAUCACCGCUCAGCCACACACUUAAACGUGUGCUUAAAUCCAAUUGUUUGCAAUGGGACUGAAGCACAUAAAGUCUUUGAGACUGGAGCCUCAGGUCCUGUCUGAGGUUGUAAAAGUAUUAUUCCCUCCUGAGAUGUAAACCUAUUCUAUACUUGUUAAACCUGUCUCCAUUUAACUCGAUUCUUCUUAAUUAUGACAUUUCUCAUUCGUACACCUCACUUUUUUUUUUUUCUUUUUCAUUUCUUCAUUUCAUCUCCAUAUUUCAGAUGUCCCGAUGAAUGUUUGGUCCAGUACCAGACAGGAUGCAAAGCUGAACACCCAUAGCCAUCACUCUCCUGCUCUUCACAGUAGAUGUUGCUAACCUACAGUUAUCAAGAUAAAUGUGGUCUUGGAGAAUAUGACUGGAUUCUUCUCACAACACCAGGACACCUUCUGAGUAUGCUGAUAAAGCAAUGACUGGCUACAAAAGGAAAUAAUUCUCCACCUUUUUUUUUUUUUAUCGAGUGCCAUGGGAAUAGGACCUACCCAGUGGAGAAUUCAGUGUGACAGUAGAACGGGAAGGAUGGAGAUUCCUGAGAUGGUUUCGAUGCUGCUUCCACCAAGUAGAAGGGAUGUUAAACUGAAAUUGUUUAUCAAGCUGUGAACUCAUAGGGAUUAUGUUAUUGGAACGCCAAGAAAACAACCACUGAUUUUAUUCUUCCCCCCCCUCCCCCCCCCAAAUAUAAAGCAGAGAUCUUGCAUAAGAAGAGACAAUGUUCAUACAACCAAGAUUGAGAAGGGGCUACAAGGAAAAGCAGAAAGAAACUGACAAAAGUUUUAAAAGAAAUUUUAUGAAGCCAUAUUUGCAUUCAAAAUCUAUGACCAUUUUGAAAUCAAAAUAGCUACUGUUAGAUUAUUUGCACAAAGUAGCUUUAUAGUCAGAAAACCCCUCAUCACUCGUAUCCAGCUUUAAAAAAUACAUUCUGUACCAUUCUGAAAUUCCAAAAGACCAUAAAAAUCACUUGGAUUUAUGAUGUUUUGGUAUAAUGGAAUUAGAUGCAAGUAUCUGGGUUUUCCCAGAAAUAUUAUUCUGGAAUAUUCAAGUAACAUAACUUUUGGACCAGGUGCCUGAGCUGUGUGUGUGAUGUGAAUACAUGAGCACUAUGAGGUUGACUCGUGGUGUGACUGCAUUUCCUGUGCAUCACUUAUGACAGCUGAACAUCAUGACCCCUGUAAAGCCAAGCAAGAGUUUGUCAAUGACUUCACUGGAGGCAGAAUUUCAUCCCAGGCCAGGAGCUGCUGAUGGAGAGUGCCACAGGCUGGUGACCUGAACAACUUCAAGUCAGUGAAGCAGAAGGGAGAAAAUUCCUCCUCACAUAACUGAUCUCUUCGGCAACCCAGGGUACCCAAAUUUCACUUAGGAUUUUCUACUGAGUUUCCAUUCAUGUUGCAGCUAUGUAGAUAAUAGGUUAAGGCAUGAUUCUUAAAAAAGUAAAGAAUUAAUUUUUCUGAGAGAUGGGUGAUAUGUAGAAGACAUUUGUGUAAUUUUGCAUUCUAAACAUGGUUUGUAUUUACAAAUAAAUUUGCAUGAAAUCUCCA
This is a long non-coding RNA of Neopsephotus bourkii (Bourke's parrot), 2273 nucleotides long. RefSeq lists it as uncharacterized. The record is from RefSeq and is a predicted model, not a curated record. Lineage: Eukaryota; Metazoa; Chordata; Aves; Psittaciformes; Psittacidae. The transcript is spliced from 2 exons.